RNAcentral lists this ribosomal RNA (1053 nucleotides) under Propionibacterium sp. enrichment culture clone MRHull-FeSM-05H. RNAcentral's name for it is "bacterial SSU rRNA". It matches the Rfam family "Bacterial small subunit ribosomal RNA", at positions 336 to 1397 of the family's 1533-position model. The record is from RNAcentral. Lineage: Bacteria; Bacillati; Actinomycetota; Actinomycetes; Propionibacteriales; Propionibacteriaceae.
CUCCUACGGGAGCCAGCAGUGGGGAAUAUUGCACAAUGGGCGCAAGCCUGAUGCAGCAACGCCGCGUGCGGGAUGACGGCCUUCGGGUUGUAAACCGCUUUCAGCAGGGACGAAGCUUUUUGUGACGGUACCUGCAGAAGAAGCACCGGCUAACUACGUGCCAGCAGCCGCGGUGAUACGUAGGGUGCGAGCGUUGUCCGGAUUUAUUGGGCGUAAAGGGCUCGUAGGCGGUUGAUCGCGUCGGAAGUGGAAACUUGAUGCUUACGUUUGAGCGUGCUUUCGAUACGGGUUGACUUGAGGAAGGUAGGGGAGAAUGGAAUUCCUGGUGGAGCGGUGGAAUGCGCAGAUAUCAGGAGGAACACCAGUGGCGAAGGCGGUUCUCUGGACCUUUCCUGACGCUGAGGAGCGAAAGCGUGGGGAGCGAACAGGCUUAGAUACCCUGGUAGUCCACGCUGUAAACGGUGGGUACUAGGUGUGGGGUCCAUUCCACGGAUUCUGUGCCGUAGCUAACGCAUUAAGUACCCCGCCUGGGGAGUACGGCCGCAAGGCUAAAACUCAAAGGAAUUGACGGGGCCCCGCACAAGCGGCGGAGCAUGCGGAUUAAUUCGAUGCAACGCGAAGAACCUUACCUGGGUUUGACAUGGAUCGGGAGCUUCCAGAGAUGGUUGUGCCUCUUUUGGGGUCGGUUCACAGGUGGUGCAUGGCUGUCGUCAGCUCGUGUCGUGAGAUGUUGGGUUAAGUCCCGCAACGAGCGCAACCCUCGUCCACUGUUGCCAGCAAUUCGGUUGGGGACUCAGUGGAGACCGCCGGGGUCAACUCGGAGGAGGGUGGGGAUGACGUCAAGUCAUCAUGCCCCUUAUGUCCAGGGCUUCACGCAUGCUACAAUGGCCGGUACAGUGAGUUGCGACAUCGUAAGGUGGAGCGAAUCUCAAAAAGCCGGUCUCAGUUCGGAUUGGGGUCUGCAACUCGACCUCAUGAAGUCGGAGUCGCUAGUAAUCGCAGAUCAGCAACGCUGCGGUGAAUACGUUCCCGGGGCUUGCACACACCGCCCGU